Molecule: ribosomal RNA, 253 nt
Filed under: uncultured bacterium
Lineage: Bacteria
Description: partial 16S ribosomal RNA
Rfam family: Bacterial small subunit ribosomal RNA
Source: RNAcentral
UACGUAGGGGGCAAGCGUUGUCCGGAAUCAUUGGGCGUAAAGCGCGUGUAGGCGGUUCGGUAAGUCUGUCGUGAAAUCCUGAGGCUCAACCUCGGACGUGCGAUGGAUACUGCCGGGCUAGAGGAUGGUAGAGGCGAGUGGAAUUCCCGGUGUAGCGGUGAAAUGCGCAGAUAUCGGGAGGAACACCAGUAGCGAAGGCGGCUCGCUGGGCCAUUCCUGACGCUGAGACGCGAAAGCUAGGGGAGCGAACAGG